RNAcentral lists this long non-coding RNA (271 nucleotides) under Brassica napus (rape). Its description in RNAcentral is "long non-coding RNA (BNAP_LNC005166)". Lineage: Eukaryota; Viridiplantae; Streptophyta; Magnoliopsida; Brassicales; Brassicaceae. The record is from RNAcentral.
GGUUUUCCUAGUUUCCUUAUUUAGUUUAGGUUUGGAAUUAGUUUAGGAUGGAAUUAUAUUAGGAUGGAGUUAGAUUAUGAUCAAAUUAGAAUAGGUUUAGAUUAUUUUUAUAUAAUAAAUUUGAAUUGUUUAUAACCAUAUAUUUUUUAUGUUUGUUUUUUCAGAUUGACGAUAUUGCUAUGGCUAGCGGUAGACAGAUAAUUAGGAACCUUACGCAUAGAAACUCUUACGCGAGUAACUUUCUUCCACAGUCGGAUCCAUCGGCUUCUAC